GUAGGUGGCAAGCGUUGUCCGGAAUUAUUGGGCGUAAAGCGCGCGCAGGUGGUUCUUAAGUCUGAUGUGAAAGCCCCCGGCUCAACCGGGGAGGGUCAUUGGAAACUGGGGAACUUGAGUGCAGGAGAGGAAAGUGGAAUUCCACGUGUAGCUGUGAAAUGCGUAGAUAUGUGGAGGAACACCAGUGGCGAAGGCGACUUUCUGGCCUGUAACUGACACUGAGGCGCGAAAGCGUGGGGAGCAAACAGGGAUUAGAUACCCUGGUAGUCCACGCCGUAAACGAUGAGUGCUAAGUGUUGGGGGGGUUUCCGCCCCCUCAGUGCUGCAGCUAACGCAUUAAGCACUCCGCCCUGGGAGUACGGUCGCAAGACUG
This 373-nucleotide ribosomal RNA is filed under the name uncultured organism. RNAcentral's name for it is "partial 16S ribosomal RNA". It matches the Rfam family "Bacterial small subunit ribosomal RNA", at positions 527 to 896 of the family's 1533-position model. The record is from RNAcentral.